Rosa rugosa (rugosa rose) is the source of this 686-nucleotide long non-coding RNA. RefSeq lists it as uncharacterized. The transcript has 2 exons. The record is from RefSeq and is a predicted model, not a curated record. NCBI's taxonomy places the organism in Eukaryota, Viridiplantae, Streptophyta, Magnoliopsida, Rosales, Rosaceae.
UCUUCUUUAUUCUCUCUUCUUUCUUCUCUCUGAGACUUUCUUCUUCUCUACCUAUCACUAUCAGUCUUCUUCUUUAUUCUCUCUUCUUUCUUCUCUCUGCGUCUUCUUUCUUCUUCUUUUUUUGUUUUCAAUUAACAUUUUCUUCUUUCUUCUUCUCUACUAAAGGGGGAUGGAUGUAUCAACCGUCCAUUCACUUGUCUAUUGAAGGGGCACUUCAGAGUUCCCUCUUCUACUGGCAACACCAGAAUUUCCGACAUCCAAAGCUGGAAUUCGACGAAAUCAGGACAUGCAUGUAUUUGAUAGCCUUUCGCAUCAAUGUCUAGGCUAUUCAGAUGCAGAUUGGGGAGGAAACUUGAAAGAUCGAAAAACUACAUUUGGUGGCUGCUUCUUUGUGGGAAACAACAUGGUGGCCUGACAUAGCAAGAAGCAAAACUGCAUAUCCCUUUCCACAGCUGAAGCAGAGUAUGUGGCUGCAGGUAGCUGUUAUACUCAAAUGUUAUGGAUGAAGCAAAUGCUUCGUGACUACAAAAUCUCACAAGGUAAGUUGACCAUUUUUUGUGAUAACUCAAGUGCCAUCAAUAUUUCCAAGAAUCCAGUGCAACACUCCCGCACUAAGCAUAUGUCAUAAGAUAUCACUUUAUCCGAGAUUUGGUUGAGAAAGAUAUACUUGAACUUGCAUUUGUUCC